Molecule: ribosomal RNA, 443 nt
Filed under: uncultured bacterium
Lineage: Bacteria
Description: partial 16S ribosomal RNA
Rfam family: Bacterial small subunit ribosomal RNA
Source: RNAcentral
CCUACGGGUGGCAGCAGUGGGGAAUCUUGGGCAAUGGGCGCAAGCCUGACCCAGCAACGCCGCGUGAAGGAAGAAGGCUUUCGGGUUGUAAACUUCUUUUAUUAGGGACGAAACAAAUGACGGUACCCAAUGAAUAAGCCACGGCUAACUACGUGCCAGCAGCCGCGGUAAUACGUAGGUGGCACGCGUUAUCCGGAUUUACUGGGUGUAAAGGGCGUGUAGGCGGGGGAGAAAGUCAGAUGUGAAAGUCCAGGGCUCAACCCGUGAACUGCGUUUGAAACUGUUCUUCUUGAGUGAUGGAGAGGAAAGCGGAAUUCCGUGUGUAGCGGUGAAAUGCGUAGAUAUACGGAGGAACACCAGUGGCGAAGGCGGCUUGCUGGACAGUAACUGACGCUGAGGCGCGAAAGCGUGGGGAGCAAACAGGAUUAGAUACCCUAGUAGUC